RNAcentral lists this ribosomal RNA (493 nucleotides) under uncultured bacterium. Its description in RNAcentral is "bacterial SSU rRNA". It matches the Rfam family "Bacterial small subunit ribosomal RNA", at positions 24 to 518 of the family's 1533-position model. The record is from RNAcentral.
UCAGGAUGAACGCUGGCGGCGUGCUUAACACAUGCAAGUCGAACGAAGCACUUCUACUGAUUCUUCGGAUUGAUGUGGAUUUGACUGAGUGGCGGACGGGUGAGUAACGCGUGGAUAACCUGCCUGUAUCUGGGGGAUAACAGUUAGAAAUGACUGCUAAUACCGCAUAAGCGCACGUGACCGCAUGGUCGAGUGUGAAAAACUCCGGUGGAUACAGAUGGAUCCGCGUUAGAUUAGCCAGUUGGCGGGGUAACGGCCCACCAAAGCGACGAUCUAUAGCCGGCCUGAGAGGGCGACCGGCCACAUUGGGACUGAGACACGGCCCAAACUCCUACGGGAGGCAGCAGUGGGGAAUAUUGCACAAUGGGGGAAACCCUGAUGCAGCGACGCCGCGUGAGUGAAGAAGUAUUUCGGUAUGUAAAGCUCUAUCAGCAGGGAAGAAAAUGACGGUACCUGACUAAGAAGCCCCGGCUAACUACGUGCCAGCAGCCGC